UCACCAGACUCCUACGGGAGGCAGCAGUGGGGAAUAUUGGGCAAUGGGCGCAAGCCUGACCCAGCAACGCCGCGUGAAGGAAGAAGGCUUUCGGGUUGUAAACUUCUUUUGUCAGGGAAGAGUAGAAGACGGUACCUGACGAAUAAGCCACGGCUAACUACGUGCCAGCAGCCGCGGUAAUACGUAGGUGGCAAGCGUUGUCCGGAUUUACUGGGUGUAAAGGGCGUGUAGCCGGGUUGACAAGUCAGAUGUGAAAUCCUGCGGCUUAACCGCAGAACUGCAUUUGAAACUGUUGAUCUUGAGUACUGGAGAGGCAGACGGAAUUCCUAGUGUAGCGGUGAAAUGCAUAGAUAUUACACAGAACACCGAUUGCGAAGGCAGCUUGCUAGGCCGGAUCUGACACUGAUGCACGAAGGCGUGGGGAUCGAACAGGAUUAGAUACCCGAGUAU
This 450-nucleotide ribosomal RNA is filed under the name uncultured bacterium. RNAcentral's name for it is "bacterial SSU rRNA". It matches the Rfam family "Bacterial small subunit ribosomal RNA", at positions 328 to 793 of the family's 1533-position model. The record is from RNAcentral.